CCCCAGGAGCCGGGCUGAGGGCAUCUUGGGAAGAGGGGCCAUAGGCUGGACCCCACCAUCACCACCACCACCACCAAGCCGAUGUCCUCUCUACUCCAUACGCUGGGGGAAACCUAGACCCCGAUUGCAGCCAACCUGGCUGUUCCCCUCUUAUUUCGUAAAAAGGACAGCUGGUUCACUGGUUCUGAGAUACCCUGCCAAAGGAGGUCCUGGUGUCCUAGGCAUCCUGGGCUGUAUUGUCUGGCCACCUUGCUUCCCCUGAGCUCAAGAAGUCUUUGAUGGUUCUCCAGGGAAGCCCAGAGAGCUGCAACUCAGAGCAGAGCUAUUCUCCGUAGGGAAUCUGAGGAGUACAAAAUGAACACAGCCAAACCAGACUGCUGAGUGAAGGGAUAAGAAAACAGAAUUUGACAACCAAAGAACUGGACUCGAGUACUGACCAUCUCUGAGAUACCUCAGUUUCUUGAACGUUUAAAUGAGAACAAGAAUAUCUGCUUUCAGAAGCUGUUUUUCCUACGUGAAUAUGAGGGGUUAUCAUGCCUUGCCCCAAGUUCCAGUACCACUGAAAGUGGAUGCCCUGACAUUCAGUCUGGAGCAGCCGAACUCAGGGCUAGCACCCAGGCUGGCCUGGUUCCAAUUCAGGUCUCCCUCAUGCACACUUGUGCUGUGUGACCUUGUCAAUUCUUCCCCUAUCUGGGCCUCACUUCUGUCCUCAUCUGUAAAGUGUUGUGAGCACGACAUGGGUGGGUAAAGUGCGUGGAUGGUCUAAGCAAAACACAUCUGAAUGUUUGGCCUGUGGGUUUCCAUCUGUGAUUGCCUGUUAAGGUUGACGCUGCUGAAGAACCCUUGAAGACCAGCUUGGAGACUCUGUGGCAUUUGCACAGCUCACUGCCACCCUCUGCAGGACGCUCUGAUCUCCUGCGCUGCAUGUUCCCUCUCCCAGCAGACCUCAUUUCAUAAACUGGCUCAAUUUGCAGAGGAUGAAACUGCGAUGAGUACUGGGGAUUCAACUCAGGACCUCGAGCUUGCCAGGCAGGUGCUGCACUGCUGGGCUAUAUCCCUGGCCCCACAUCUCUCAGUUUCUAAGAGCUCAUCAGGGCUCAUAUGAUCAUUAAAUGCCUGGGAAAGAAAGGAGUACUUUUGUGGAGGGUGGGUUUCAUUUACCAAUAAGAUGUCCCUUUCUCUGGUUCUCAGGCCCCAGCUCAGCUCCAUCUUAUUUAUUCAUUUAUUUAGUUUGAGACAGGGUCUCCUUGUGUUGCCCAGGCUGCCUUUGAACGCCUGAAAGGAUCCUCCUGCUUCACCUCGUGAAUAGCCAAGGCUUUAGCCAGUGCCUGGUUUUUAAUAUUUUAUACACAAGCAAAUUCAUUUCAUAAGCUCUGAGCUGUGUAGUUUGGAUUUUCAGGCUCCAUUCUCUUGGCAUAGUGAAUGGUUUAUUGGGCACAAGCUACGUAUUCAAAUAGUGGCUUUUUCCCACUGGUCCUCUUCUGGCCCCAAGGACACUCCAUCCAUGGGACUUCCCUGAAAGUGCUCCCACCCUGGGCCUCUGGUCUUUUUCUUUUCUUUUCUUUUUCUUUUCUUUCUUUCUUUUUUUUUUUUUUGGUACCAGGGAUUGAACUCAGGACCUUGCGCUUGCAAGGCAGGCAGGCGCUAGAACCACUGAGCUAAAUCCCUGGCCCACCUCUGGUCUUUUUCUGCAGACCUGCCUAGCUAGCUGACUUGCUUGUUUUCUUUCCUUCCUUGCAGAACUUUUUUAUCAUCCAUCCCUCCUAAGGGGGAGCAAGGAGGGAGGAGAUACGCGGGGUCUAGACAUACUUAACACCCUGUAACUCUUUAUUUGGUAUCUGUCCCAAAUGGCCUGUGGGGACAUUAGCUAGAUCUAAACUCUGCAAAGAUGCAGUCCAUUUGUUUUAUUUCUCUGUGUCUCUAAGUGCUCAGCAUGAGUAUGGUCAGUGGAGAGCACAGCCCAAGGAGAGAUGCACAUGUGUGUAAAUGAUAAGCAGCCAGUGUUGGGCCAGAGCAGAGAUGUAUGUGUCCUCGGGGAAUCCAGGAGGAGGCAGAGGUCUGGGGAAGGCUUCCCUGAGCAGGUGACAUGUGGGCUGGUGCUAUGUGAAAGAAACAGAUAGGCAAAGACCAGGAGACUUCAUAUUGUUGGUGUGUUUGAGGAACAGCCAGGUUAGAAUGUGAGGCUGGUGUGGGCAGUAGGAGGUGAGCUCAGAGGUAAGAUAAGACAGGGCCUUCCAGCCUGUAAGAAGUUUAGGUUUCACUCUAAAUGCAAAAGAUUCUUAAAAGAUUCUAAGCCUGGACUGUCCGAUAGAACUCACAAUGGGCAUAUUCUAUAAUCUUCAUGAACAAUUCAGCAACCAUUAGCUUUCCCAUAUGAUUACUAAUUGUGGCUUUUUCUACUAAAGAAUUGAAUUUUUAGUUUAACUUUAAUGACUUUAGAAUGAAAUGGUUAUAGUGGCUGCCAUAGUAGACCACCCUGUAUGACUUGCUCAAAUCUGUUGGGUGGAGAGUUGGGGAGGUGGGAGGUGGGAGCAGGGUGAGCAGUCCAGGUCUAUGGCAAUUGGCCAGGUGGGGGAUGUUGGUGAUCAGGACUGUGGUAACAGUAAGGUGACUAAGAGAGUUAGAUUGCAGGACCGUUCUGGAAAUAGAGUCAUAGGACUUGCAGAUGGGAAUGAGGGAGGGCCAGCCAUGGGGCUAACAAUGGAAUGCUGUCUGACACGAGCAAGCAGAGCUGCCCAUGUGAGGCUUCAGGAGCCCAUGGCCCAUCCACAGGGAGGAGUCAGGUGGACAGAGGGUGAGUCUGCAGGAACAUUCAAGACCACAGGUAGAAAUUGGAGUGUAAUCAGUGAACAGCUGGUGUUUGUAGCCACAGGGCUGAAGACUCUUCUCCUCGUUGAAUGAGGCCCUGGGUUUAAUUCUACUGUAUGGGAUGGAGGGUGCAGAGGAAAAGAAAAGAAAUAAACUUUUGUUGUUUAUAAGCCAGCCAGGCUAUGGUAUUUUGUUAUAGCAGCCCAAAUGGACUAAACAAGACAAUAUACUUGUUUGAGUCCACUUUUAGUUUUUUUGGGCACGCAUAUCUAGGAGUGGAAUUUCUGGAUCCAUAUGGCAGUUCCAUCUCUCACUUUUUGAAGAACUGCACAGGUGAGUUUUUUUUUUCUAAUUCACCCAAAGGUGCCAGGUGAGUGGGCACAGUGAGAAUCUCACAGUCUUCAGGAUUCCCAUGUACCCAGCCUUUGACAGGUGCUCAGCCUGGGGCUUCACAGAGAUAAAUUCUUUCCAUCUUCACAGCCAUUAUUUCAGUGAGGAUCAGGUAAGGAGCUCAGGUAAGGGGGCGAUCACCCCAUCACACAGCAGUAAAUGAGAGCCCUAGUCUGCCUAUGUCCCAAAUCAGUGUUCUUUUUUUUUUGGUACCAGGGAUCAAAGUCGGGUCUUUGUGCUUGCACGGCAGGUGGUGAAACCAUUGAGCUAAAUCCCCGGCCCCCAAAUCAGUGUUCUUGACCAGUGUACUAUCAGGCAGAUGAUCAGAUGAGCAUUAGGAAGUUGGAAGUCUUUCUGCCCUAAGACCUACUUAAGGGUGACUGAAAAAUGCCUUUUCUUUCUCCUUCCCUGUCCUAUCUCUAG
Long non-coding RNA from Heterocephalus glaber (naked mole-rat), 3621 nucleotides. The record is from Ensembl. NCBI's taxonomy places the organism in Eukaryota, Metazoa, Chordata, Mammalia, Rodentia, Bathyergidae.